UAAGGAAUAUUGGUCAAUGGACGCAAGUCUGAACCAGCCAUGCCGCGUGGAGGAUUAAGGCCCUCUGGGUUGUAAACUCCUUUUAUCUGGGAAGAAAUGCAUUUUUUUUAAGAUGCUUGACGGUACCAGAGGAAUAAGCACCGGCUAACUCCGUGCCAGCAGCCGCGGUAAUACGGAGGGUGCAAGCGUUAUCCGGAUUCACUGGGUUUAAAGGGUGCGUAGGCGGGCAGGUAAGUCAGUGGUGAAAUCUCCGAGCUUAACUCGGAAACUGCCGUUGAUACUAUUUGUCUUGAAUACUGUGGAGGUAAGCGGAAUAUGUCAUGUAGCGGUGAAAUGCUUAGAUAUGACAUAGAACACCAAUUGCGAAGGCAGCUUACUACGCAGUUAUUGACGCUGAGGCACGAAAGCGUGGGGAUCAAACAGGAUUAGAUACCCCUGUAGUCC
This 444-nucleotide ribosomal RNA is filed under the name uncultured bacterium. Its description in RNAcentral is "bacterial SSU rRNA". It matches the Rfam family "Bacterial small subunit ribosomal RNA", at positions 355 to 796 of the family's 1533-position model. The record is from RNAcentral.